CUUACAGCCUUGAAAGGUGAAAAUCUUAGUCCACAAAACAGGCAUAGCAAUGGCAGCAGCAAUGCAAGUUUCCCCACGGCCCUUUAGCAAUAUGCCGAGUUUGAGCUCAAAGGGCCACUUCCAGAAUUGAGAGGGAGGCCCAGUUUUGACUCCAAUUAAAUCACUAGUAUCU
RNAcentral lists this small RNA (172 nucleotides) under Gopherus agassizii (Agassiz's desert tortoise). RNAcentral describes it as "TUC338 (ENSGAGG00000014084.1)". The record is from RNAcentral. Lineage: Eukaryota; Metazoa; Chordata; Testudines; Testudinidae.